UCAAAAGCUGCCUGGCUUACCUGUAUCUCCAGCUUCAUCAACCUCCUGAUGAAACCCAUACUGGCCCUUCUGCUGAUAAGCUCUCCAGGCUCUACCUGCCUGCUCCUGCUGCUGCCACACAUCACUUCAGGAAACUGAUGAACUGUACCAACCUCAGAUUAACCCCCAACCCCGUCUUUCUUUUUUUGCAAUCCCAGACCAUCACUGGAGGUUCCAGAAGAUCAAGCGUAAAGAGGAAGAAAGAUAUCAGAUAACAAGGCAGCGUGGAGGCGCGGCACAUGGUGUCGCAUGCUCGGCACUGCACCCACCGGGAAUG
Etheostoma spectabile (orangethroat darter) is the source of this 316-nucleotide long non-coding RNA. RefSeq lists it as uncharacterized. The transcript has 3 exons. NCBI's taxonomy places the organism in Eukaryota, Metazoa, Chordata, Actinopteri, Perciformes, Percidae. The record is from RefSeq and is a predicted model, not a curated record.